Molecule: ribosomal RNA, 468 nt
Filed under: uncultured bacterium
Lineage: Bacteria
Description: partial 16S ribosomal RNA
Rfam family: Bacterial small subunit ribosomal RNA
Source: RNAcentral
GACGAACGCUGGCGGCGUGCUUAACACAUGCAAGUCGAACGGAAAGGCCCUGCUUUUGUGGGGUGCUCGAGUGGCGAACGGGUGAGUAACACGUGAGUAACCUGCCCUUGACGUUGGGAUAACUUCAGGAAACUGGGUCUAAUACCGGAUAGGAGCUCCUGCUGCAUGGUGGGGGUUGGAAAGUUUCGGCGGUUGGGGAUGGACUCGCGGCUUAUCAGCUUGUUGGUGGGGUAGUGGCUUACCAAGGCUGUGACGGGUAGCCGGCCUGAGAGGGUGACCGGCCACAUUGGGACUGAGAUACGGACCAGAGUGCUACGGGAGGCAGCAGUGGGGAAUAUUGCACAAUGGGCGGAAGCCUGAUGCAGAAACGCCGCGUGCGGGAUGACGGCCUUCGGGUUGUAAACCGCUUUCGCCUGUGACGAAGCGUGAGUGACGGUAAUGGGUAAAGAAGCACCGGCUAACUACGUG